GCUUGGCAGAAACAAGGCCAAAAUGCACCCCUUGGCCCGCCAGAUUAUUACAAGUAAAAACUUAAAACUCAAAGGACUUGACGGUGUCCCACACACAACCUAGAGGAGCCUGUCCUACAAUCGAUGAUCCACGAAAGACCUCACCACCUUUUGCCCAACAGCCUAUAUACCGCCGUCGAAAGUUCACCUUGUGAAAGAAAAAAAGUGAACAUAAUAGCUUAGCGCUAGUACGUCAGGUCAAGGUGUAGUAAAUAAGGUGGCCAGAGAUGGGCUACAUUUCCUUUUUAAGGAAAAACGAACGGUCAAAUGAAAACUUAACCAGAAGGAGGAUUUAGUAGUAAAACAGAAUAAGAAAGUCUGCUUGAACACACUGCCCUGGGACG
Molecule: ribosomal RNA, 383 nt
Filed under: Cubatyphlops biminiensis (Bahaman slender blindsnake)
Lineage: Eukaryota; Metazoa; Chordata; Lepidosauria; Squamata; Typhlopidae
Also listed under: 1 other name
Description: partial 12S ribosomal RNA
Rfam family: Bacterial small subunit ribosomal RNA
Source: RNAcentral